UUUUAUAUAGUUUAAUAUUAAAACUUUACAUUUUCAUUGUAAUAAUAAAAAAUUUUUUUUUAUAAAAUAUA
Molecule: transfer RNA, 71 nt
Filed under: Urodus decens
Lineage: Eukaryota; Metazoa; Arthropoda; Insecta; Lepidoptera; Urodidae
Description: tRNA-Glu
Source: RNAcentral